Molecule: long non-coding RNA, 414 nt
Filed under: Phasianus colchicus (ring-necked pheasant)
Lineage: Eukaryota; Metazoa; Chordata; Aves; Galliformes; Phasianidae
Description: lncRNA (ENSPCLG00000010450.1)
Source: RNAcentral
ACCAUCACACUGGAAGUCCAUUGCUACAUUUGUUUCCCCAAAUGUUCAGUAGUUCACUCUUUUCUUCCCACUGCUCUGCAAGAUCAUGCUAGGGACAAUAAGGAAAAUACCAGCCUAGAUGACAAAUCAGCACUUUGCUUCCCUUCCAGUAAACCAGUAAUUGCUCUGCUGUAACUAAGAGGCACAACAGUGUAAAACUGCUGUGCUGAGUCAGGAGGUGCUCUUGUGGGAUGCGGAGCCUAUCAGCAAGGACAUGAAUAUGGAUGGAAUUGCCCCAAAAUUGCCUGUAUUGAUGAAAAUGCCUCCCUGUAGGCUUAGAACUGAGCCACUAUCAAGAGUGACAACUUGCUUCUGCAGACCUCGCCAAGCACCCUUCACCACUAGCCAAAAAACACUUUCUGAAGAACAGUCAAG